RNAcentral lists this ribosomal RNA (496 nucleotides) under uncultured bacterium. Its description in RNAcentral is "partial 16S ribosomal RNA". It matches the Rfam family "Bacterial small subunit ribosomal RNA", at positions 29 to 507 of the family's 1533-position model. The record is from RNAcentral.
AUGAACGCUGGCGGCGUGCCUAAUACAUGCAAGUCGAGCGAACAGAUGAGGAGCUUGCUCCUCUGACGUUAGCGGCGGACGGGUGAGUAACACGUGGAUAACCUACCUAUAAGACUGGGAUAACUUCGGGAAACCGGAGCUAAUACCGGAUAAUAUAUUGAACCGCAUGGUUCAAUAGUGAAAGACGGUUUUGCUGUCACUUAUAGAUGGAUCCGCGCCGCGUUAGCUAGUUGGUAAGGUAACGGCUUACCAAGGCAACGAUGCGUAGCCGACCUGAGAGGGUGAUCGGCCACACUGGAACUGAGACACGGUCCAGACUCCUACGGGAGGCAGCAGUAGGGAAUCUUCCGCAAUGGGCGAAAGCCUGACGGAGCAACGCCGCGUGAGUGAUGAAGGUCUUCGGAUCGUAAAACUCUGUUAUUAGGGAAGAACAAAUGUGUAAGUAACUAUGCACGUCUUGACGGUACCUAAUCAGAAAGCCACGGCUAACUACGUG